UACGUAGGGUGCAAGCGUUGUCCGGAUUUAUUGGGCGUAAAGAGCUCGUAGGCGGUCUGUCGCGUCGGAUGUGAAAACCCAGGGCUCAACCCUGGGCCUGCAUUCGAUACGGGCAGACUAGAGUAUGGCAGGGGAGACUGGAAUUCCUGGUGUAGCGGUGAAAUGCGCAGAUAUCAGGAGGAACACCGGUGGCGAAGGCGGGUCUCUGGGCCAAAACUGACGCUGAGGAGCGAAAGCGUGGGAAGCGAACAGG
Molecule: ribosomal RNA, 253 nt
Filed under: uncultured bacterium
Lineage: Bacteria
Description: partial 16S ribosomal RNA
Rfam family: Bacterial small subunit ribosomal RNA
Source: RNAcentral